Long non-coding RNA from Papaver somniferum (opium poppy), 873 nucleotides. RefSeq lists it as uncharacterized. Lineage: Eukaryota; Viridiplantae; Streptophyta; Magnoliopsida; Ranunculales; Papaveraceae. The transcript is spliced from 5 exons. The record is from RefSeq and is a predicted model, not a curated record.
GUGUAGGGCACCCAAGCAUUUUGUAGUGGUUGAGAUCAGGCAUUGAGAGGUAAAGAUGGAUAUGCUGAUUUUGACAAUUUUGGCAGAUGAUAUUGUAUAAGAAAUUGAUUUCGUAGCUCGAAAAGAGGUUAGAAGGUUAAGAUGGAAAGUGUUGUCCGACUGAUUACUUUCUCUCCGUUUUACAAGACCUGAUUGGAGGGUAUCUAUGCUGGAGAAUGAAAUCAGUAGAAAGAAGAACGAUUGCUAAUGCACGAUCAGAGAGCAUUGAAAAUGAGAGGUACAUGGCUCGACUACACUGGACUGGAAGGGCUGUUUUUGUCGAUUUCGAUCAUGCUACGGAGUUGUUGCAUAUGAGAAAAAUUUAAGGAGGCGACAGAGGAGCAACGGAAGUGAUAUGGUGGGGCUCUUGGCUGCGGAAAAAAUCACGGGGUUAAUUAUCCAUCAGUGAGACAGCUUUCUUCACUCAUCCAUAUAGAGCAAUAUUUUCAUAUAGAGCAAUAUUUUCAUAUAGAGCAAUAUUUUCCAGGAGUUGUUCAUAGCAUUCUAUAACUUAGAUGAGAUUUAAGACAAUUGGGGUAUAAAUUUCUUCAAAUGAAGUUAAGAGAGUGCAAGAAACACUUAGCUCAAGUACAUUUGAUUAAUAAAAAUUUCAUACUCUCGACUUUUGCUUUUUAUUAGUCGAAGGACACAUCACUGUAUUUUUGUUUUUAUUUAUUGUUUCUUAGGACUUAUCUCAUCCUUUGAGGUUCUGCCAUAGUCAUGCUUUAUGCUUACUUUCAUUGUUUCAAAGUUGGAUAAUGUAUAAGGAUACCUACUUACAUUUUCAAUACAAUUUCUAAAAACAAGAGUUUGAGGGGAAGAUUUUUUAGCUAA